CACCACCACUGCCUCUUAGCUUCAUUCGAUGAUCGUAUGAGCUGAUGCGAGUGAAUACGGUGACACGGAAUGACCCUGCUUAUGCACAUGUAGCUGCGGGUUUACAUAUACACAGUUACCUUUCUCUUAACAUUGAUCAAGGGAAAUAUUCAGGAUGUGACAGUGAGAGGAAAAAUAGCUACUCCGACACUUGACUAUCCAAUCCCCAUUUCGGUCGAGCAGAGAGUAUUAUACAAACUGUCAUCAUUCCAAAGUUGAUAAAUUAAAGUACCAGACAAAUACUGAGUUCUCUCUCCACAAAUCUUAAGCUUUGCGUUUAGAUUGAUUUCAAACUUUGGCACAAGGCCAGUAACUUCAGGGAAAGCGGUGGCAGUCGGUGUACGAGAUUGACAAGCUUCAGUUAAGGUGAAAUACGUGUGUUCUUCUCAUCAGUAACAGGAGCAAUGUUUACCUCGAUGCCAUAUAUAUUUUGUCAUUUUCACUAACGUCUAUGAAGACAGUGUCAUCCCAAACAGUUCCACAUCUUGACUUCUGGCGGUGAGACUGCAUCCAUGAUCUGUUAUAGAGUCUCCCAGAUUGUUUGAAGGGAAGAAGGAAGCCAUCCUCAAAUCAAAACAUUGUCUGAAUGCUUGUAACAGAGUGCAUUCUGUUGGAGACGCCCAAGCAGCCAGGUGUGUCAAAUCGGGUGACGGAUUAAGAAUAACAUUCAAGUAGGCCAUGGCGGGAUUUGAACUAAGGUCACAAAUAGCUGGAACAACUACUGCAAGGCACCCGAUAUGAUGUUGUUAUAGUUCCGUCAAUCCACUGUAGGAGAUAUUUGUAUUUUGCAUCGACGUCUAAAAAUGAGAGGCAGUGUUCACUUUUGUGAGGUUUAAACUCAUAGCGUAUAGAUUCGGAAAAAAUACCGCGAAGCACUUUAUCCAAUGCUCUAACGACUCAGCUAAUUUCCUGGAAGUAGGAUGCUGAAAAUAUAGAGCCGAUGUUUUGGCCAUACUGAGCCCAGGAAUUGGACACACGACCUUAUGAUUGCGAUUCCAAAAUCCUAAGCACUAGGCCACGCGUCUUCAUAAAAAUCUGAUAAAGACAAAACUUAAAUAAAUUCCUUUGCCGCAAGGAAAAAUAAAUGUCUAACGUUUCGGGUAAAUCUGUUCAUCAGUAAAAGACAUAAAAGAUUUUCUGAUAGAAGCGAUAAAUUGGAUUGCGUCACAUUUUAUACUAAACCUCAAAAGAAAAACGAAAUUCCAUCAACAACAAACCAAGCCCUGCUGGUGUCAGGAAACAUAUAAUUUCCACUCUUCGCUUCGCAUUAUUUUGUCUGUAUCUUUUUUGAUUGUGGACUGAAGUCACUUACGCAUGCAUACCAGAAACCAUGCCAUGAAGUAUGAAGUUAAUGUAUAAAGUAACCGAAUAUAAAUUGAUAAUUGACUUGGACAACUUUAACAAAAGGAAAUUCGUGAUUGAAAAUCGAAUCUCUUGGCCCUUAGGAUAUUUACAUAUAUUUUCAUGAAUUGAUUAUUAAAGGUUCUUUAAUUACUGCAAGAUGAUCUAAAAUGGAAAAACAUCUUUCGUCGAACAUGUGCCGAGUAUAAAAAUACUUUGAAAAAUUCCUAA
Octopus sinensis (East Asian common octopus) is the source of this 1611-nucleotide long non-coding RNA. RefSeq lists it as uncharacterized. The transcript has 5 exons. The record is from RefSeq and is a predicted model, not a curated record. NCBI's taxonomy places the organism in Eukaryota, Metazoa, Mollusca, Cephalopoda, Octopoda, Octopodidae.